UACGAAGGGGGCGAGCGUUGUUCGGAAUUACUGGGCGUAAAGGGCGCGUAGGCGGCCGAUCAAGUCAGAUGUGAAAGUCCUGGGCUUAACCUGGGGACUGCAUUUGAUACUGAUUGGCUUGAAUGCAGGAGAGGAUAGCGGAAUUCCCAGUGUAGAGGUGAAAUUCGUAGAUAUUGGGAAGAACACCGGUGGCGAAGGCGGCGACCUGGUCCGACACUGACGCUGAGGCGCGAAAGCGUGGGGAGCAAACAGG
This 253-nucleotide ribosomal RNA is filed under the name uncultured bacterium. Its description in RNAcentral is "partial 16S ribosomal RNA". It matches the Rfam family "Bacterial small subunit ribosomal RNA", at positions 524 to 776 of the family's 1533-position model. The record is from RNAcentral.